AACGCACCUUGCGCCCCUUGGCAUUCCGAGGGGCACACCCGUUUGAGUGUCGUGAAAUUCUCAAAACCCUUUCUUUUGGUCAUUUUUGACCUUAGAAAAGGAUUUUGGACUUGGAGGCCUUUUGCUGGUUUCACCUUGAAGCGAGCUCCUCCCAAAUGUAUUAGUGGGGUCUGCAUUGUCGGUCCUUGGCGUGAUAAGUUGUUUCUACGUCUCGGAUUUUUGGCGCUGUACGCCCGCUUCCAACCGUCUCAUUGACAACGAUGGUGUUCCGGUCGCCGCCGAUUUUUUGGCGGGAGGCUUGACCCACGAAACAAACCUUGACCUCAAAUCGGGUGAGACUACCCGCUGAACUUAA
RNAcentral lists this unclassified non-coding RNA (355 nucleotides) under uncultured Russula. RNAcentral describes it as "sequence contains ITS2". The record is from RNAcentral. Lineage: Eukaryota; Fungi; Basidiomycota; Agaricomycetes; Russulales; Russulaceae.